AACGAACGCUGGCGGCAGGCUUAACACAUGCAAGUCGAACGCCCCGCAAGGGGAGUGGCAGACGGGUGAGUAACACGUGGGAAUGUGCCCUAAGGUUCGGAAUAUUCUCGGGAAACUGAGAGCAAUACCGAAUGUGUCCGAGAGGAGAAAGAUUUAUCGCCUUAGGAUCGGCCCGCGUUGGUUUAGCUAGUUGGAGGGGUAAAAGCCUACCAAGGCGACGAUUCAUAGCUGGUCUGAGAGGACGACCAGCGACACUGGGACUGAGACACGGCCCAGACUCCUACGGGAGGCAGCAGUGGGGAGUCUUGGACAGGGGGCGCAAGCCUGAUCCAGCCAUGCCGCGUGAGUGAUGAAGGCCCUAGGGUUGUAAAACUCUUUCGCCGAGGACGAUAAUGACGGUACUCGGAGAAGAAGCUCCGGCUAACUUCGUGCCAGCCGCCGCGGUAA
RNAcentral lists this ribosomal RNA (447 nucleotides) under uncultured bacterium. RNAcentral's name for it is "partial 16S ribosomal RNA". It matches the Rfam family "Bacterial small subunit ribosomal RNA", at positions 29 to 523 of the family's 1533-position model. The record is from RNAcentral.